GAAAAAGAUUUAUGUAAUUUUCGUAGCGAUUGAUGUAGGUUGAACGCGCUGGCGCGAAAAAGCGUUGCGCGCGAAUUUAACCUUAGUUUUUAGGGUUAUGAUGAAGUGUUUAUGAAGAUGCCUAUUGAGAUGUGUAGGCCCAUCAAGAAUGCGGCCCACCGAUAACUAUCUCGCGUCUGGAUUCAUUGAAACGAUUGACGUUUCUCAGAGAAACAACGAUCACGAGCUGCGGUCAGCCCGCAUGCACAACAAAUUAAUCGUAGUGCCAUCCAUCACAUUGUCGGUACAAUCAAUGGAGGAUUUUGCGAUGACCUUUUCUACUCAAGAGAAUGGCAGGUACU
This is a non-coding RNA of Linepithema humile (Argentine ant), 341 nucleotides long. The record is from RefSeq and is a predicted model, not a curated record. Lineage: Eukaryota; Metazoa; Arthropoda; Insecta; Hymenoptera; Formicidae.